GCAAUGGCUACUCGUGUGUGCCGGUCGCUCUGUCAGAAGGUCUGGACAUUAGACUAGGAACGGCUGUCACGGAAAUCGAAUACUAUGGACCUGGUGUCACUGUCAAGGCUGUCAACCCACGGGCACUCAACCAACCGCAAACAUUCAAAGGCGAUGUGGUGCUCUGCACGCUUCCACUGGGCGUGCUGAAAGUUGCAGUCGCGAACAACGGGCAGAACCAACAGAACUUUAUCAAGUUCGACCCGCCUCUGCCGGAUUGGAAGGUGGCAGCCAUCAAACGCCUUGGCUAUGGCAACCUGAACAAGGUGAUACUGUGCUUCGAGCGAACCUUCUGGGACCCCAGCGCUAACCUCUUCGGACAUGUCGGCACAACUACUGCAAGC
Molecule: long non-coding RNA, 383 nt
Organism: Ostrinia furnacalis (Asian corn borer)
Lineage: Eukaryota; Metazoa; Arthropoda; Insecta; Lepidoptera; Crambidae
Exons: 3
Source: RefSeq, a predicted model, not a curated record